This 518-nucleotide ribosomal RNA is filed under the name uncultured Gammaproteobacteria bacterium. RNAcentral's name for it is "bacterial SSU rRNA". It matches the Rfam family "Bacterial small subunit ribosomal RNA", at positions 983 to 1501 of the family's 1533-position model. The record is from RNAcentral. Lineage: Bacteria; Pseudomonadati; Pseudomonadota; Gammaproteobacteria.
GACAUCCUGCGAAUUUGGUAGAGAUACCUUAGUGCCUUCGGGAACGCAGAGACAGGUGCUGCAUGGCUGUCGUCAGUUCGUGUUGUGAAAUGUUGGGGUUAAGUCCCGUAACGAGCGCAACCCUUGUCCUUAUUUGCCAGCGCGUAAUGGCGGGAACUCUAAGGAGACUGCCGGUGACAAACCGGAGGAAGGUGGGGACGACGUCAAGUCAUCAUGGCCCUUACGAGUAGGGCUACACACGCGCUACAAUGGUCGGUACAAAGGGUUACCAACUCGCGAGAGUGAGCCAAUCCCGAAAAGCCGAUCUCAGUCCGGAUCGGAGUCUGCAACUCGACUCCGUGAAGUCGGAAUCGCUAAUAAUCGUGGAUCAGAAUGCCACGGUGAAUACGUUCCCGGGCCUUGUACACACCGCCCGUCACACCAUGGGAGUGGACUGCACCAGAAGUGGUUAGCCUAACGCAAGAGGGCGAUCACCACGGUGUGGUUCAUGACUGGGGUGAAGUCGUAACAAGGUAACC